Long non-coding RNA from Bolinopsis microptera, 378 nucleotides. RefSeq lists it as uncharacterized. NCBI's taxonomy places the organism in Eukaryota, Metazoa, Ctenophora, Tentaculata, Lobata, Bolinopsidae. The transcript has 2 exons. The record is from RefSeq and is a predicted model, not a curated record.
UAGUACUAUAAAAGGGGGCAUGUUACAAUCACAGCAUUACUUUAGUUGCAUCUUGUUAACAAAUCUUAACCAAUCCUAAACAUGAAGGUUUUCAUUCUUCUCGCUGCAGUUGUAGCAACAACCCUCGCCGCCUUUGACUUCCGUCCUGAGGAUCUUACUGUGCAGGUGGAGAAUGGACCCUCCGCCAACAUCUUCGAGAUCAUCGGAAAACUCAUCGAGAUUGGUCUUCCAGUAGCCUGCGGCCCUGAUGUAGCUGCACUCCUGGAACUACUCAAUCUCCCUCAAGAGUUCGUGGGAAUUAUUAACAUGGCAAAAGGCAUCCUGUGCGGUGGAUUUUGAUCGAUCUAUUAAUCGACCAAAAGUAAAGAUGACGAGGAA